UGUCCCUGAGCUGGGGCGAGUGGCCCUUGUGGGUGCCCAUCUCGCAUCAGCCCAGGGACAAAGCAACUGCUCAUUUAUCCCAGCUUGUUUUUUUGGCCUGUGCCUAUAUCUGGCUCAUGGUUCCGACCCAGGA
This is a small nucleolar RNA of Otolemur garnettii (small-eared galago), 133 nucleotides long. The record is from Ensembl. Lineage: Eukaryota; Metazoa; Chordata; Mammalia; Primates; Galagidae.